AUCUAGCUGACGAGUCUUAAGUAGGACGAAACACUUGUCUUGCAU
This 45-nucleotide non-coding RNA is filed under the name Schistosoma margrebowiei. The record is from RNAcentral. Lineage: Eukaryota; Metazoa; Platyhelminthes; Trematoda; Strigeidida; Schistosomatidae.